Molecule: long non-coding RNA, 378 nt
Organism: Terrapene triunguis (Three-toed box turtle)
Lineage: Eukaryota; Metazoa; Chordata; Testudines; Emydidae
Exons: 3
Source: RefSeq, a predicted model, not a curated record
UGGUGUUACUGAGCAUGGGCAGUACAAGCCAAGCAGAAAAUCUGUGGAGGCACGUGAUCCCGCAUGUCUGUCCCAUUCAUCUCCUCUGCGUUGGGGGAUGGAGGAAGGAGGAGAAGAAGCAUAAGGAGCUGAAGCAUUUCUACCACUGGAUUACUUCAUCAUACUCCAGUAGAGACACUGACAGUGAGAUCACACACAACACUCCUAUACUAUGCAGCAGGUGCAGUGAAAUCACUCCUAAUCUUCAGCACUUCAGUACAGGGUCAAAAACUGGUGAAGUUUGAAUACUUUAUAUUGGAGAGAUAUAGAACAACUGAAGAGUGGAAGGAGUAGUUAGGGAACCUCAGUGUUCUGAGUUUCUGAAAACUGAAGCAUUUU